CUCUGCAAGGCAGAAGACGAGCGGAGUGGCUGCAGCGCAUCGGACUAUCGGUAACCGAUCAGAGCCAGGAUAUGCGCGUUUGCGGCCGCCACUUUACGCCGGAGGAUUACAACUACAAUACCGUGCUCAUGCAGCGAUUGGGAGCCAGCACGCACAGAUUUCGUCUCAGAGACGAGGCCCUACCCUCUUUGUUCCUUCCCGUUGCAAAGGUAAGUUCACGAGCAAUACAGGUCGUUUGCUGCUUGUAGGGCACGAUAUCGGAACGAUGCUCUUUGGACACUACCGCACUGCUAUCUACAUCUUCAGACCAGCGGAAAAUUUUGGAGAAGUCCGCAGUGUAUAGCAAAUGGCAUGUUUCCUAUAUAUUGAGCGCAAAUAGGUCUACCCGAGCAAAUGAUUGAGCUCGCGGCCUCCAGGUAUACAGCGACCAGACUGCUAGGUUAUAGCAUGUCGAGCGGCAAGAGCUCGGCGUUCUAUAAAUAAUUGUAAAGUUCAUGGUUCAGAGAGUGGUCAAGCGUGUAAUCUAGCUGUGACAGUGCAUGUUAUGGGCUUUCACGCAUUUUUAGCAAGCGCAAAGCGCGCGAAGAAAACGGAAUUGUAUUGCGAAUGCGCCGAUGUGAAUGAAAUGAAAGCAGUGCAAUGCAUUGGUGUCCUUCAUGUGGUGCGCCGUGAAACAAUUUGCUGAUUUAAUUUCUUGCAGCGUCAUACCACACCUCGGGAAAGCGUGGCGGAGAGUGUCAAUGUCUUGAAAACCUUCGCCAGCCAGGAGCUCGUGCAGAGAUGUGUGUGCCAGACAGCCACAAGAAAAGCCACAAGAACAGUGGAAAUUCAGACAACACCAGAAUGCCAGUCUGUUGGUAAGCUGACCAAACAAGUCAGAAACAAUGCACAUUCUAUGCACAGGUGCAGAGUUGUUGUUUAUUGACAAAAUUUGCAUGGUAGUAGAAUAACAACAAAUAAUGUUCAUUAUAGAUAAGAAAUUAGGCACGUUAUCACUCAAACAUGUUUUGCUUACCCAACCGGUUUUAAUCCAACCACACAGGUGCACAUGACCACGAAAGUUGUGGUUUCCGUAGCGACACAGACCGAGCGUCCCUCCACCACAUGAACUGCAGUGCAGAAUGAGCGUGAAGCUGCAUCCCCUGAAUCCCAGAGAUAUACUGCAAUACAAGUUGCCCCACCACCAUUGAUCCCGCCUGAUUUCAGGCCUCUCCGUGGUUCAACGCCUCUGCCAAUGGGAGUGGACGACUCUUGUGCAGGUGAUGAAGACAAGCCAGCAGCUAAUGUGGACACCAGCUAUCUGCCAUCAUUCAGCGAGAGCUUCUGCAGUGCUCACCACGAGUGUUCAGAAGUCACUACACAGAUAGAAGAACCCUUGCAUACUGAACGGAAGUUCAUUGUUUUUGAGAGCUGCCUAAGGGAAUUGCUCACCACCUGCAAAGUCUGUGACUACGCUGUAGGCGACAUCAGUUCCAGGGUUGUGGGCACUUUGCUCAUAGCGGAGGGCAGGUGUGAUAAAGAACACUUGCUCCAGUGGAGGAGCCAGCCACUUGUGCGUGGGAGUGGAGCUGGAGCUGGAAACAUUCUUCUAGCAGCAGGAGUUCUAUUUUCUGGCUGUGCAGUGGCUGCGACAAUGCGGUGCCUAAAUUCUAUUGGCGUGCAGACCAUCACAGAACGGACCUUCUACAACUACCAGAGGGCCUACUUGCUGCCUGCUAUAAACGAGCUUUUCCACCGUCAGCAAGCUGAAGUGGCCAAUGAGCUUGCUGGCUUGCAAGUCGACCUGGCAGCUGAUGGGCGAUGUGACUCUCCAGGCUACAGUGCGAAGUACAUGACAUACAGUGCGCUUUCUAUGCAGAAUGGCUGCAUUCUGCACACAGAACAAGUGCAAGUUGGAGAGGUAAACCCAUAGUACUGCUAUUAGUAAGCAUAUUGUGUGAAUUCUUAUGAAACUAUCUGAUUUAUUUAUGCAGUCACCCGAAGUGCCUAACAGUGUUUGCAUGGAAAAAAAAAGGACUUGCCAAGUGCUUGGUGGGUGUCGAGAAGCUGGGCAUCAGGAUACGUUCACUGACAACAGACCGGCAUCCUGGUGUCACCCGAUACUGCCGUGUGGAAAGGCCAGACAUAAAGGACUUGUUUGAUGUUUGGCAUGUUGCUAAAGGUCUGAAAAAAAAGCUCCUGGCAGCCAGCUGCAAACAUCUAGUUAUCAGACCAUGGAUCCAGGUUAUCCUAACCCACCUCUACUGGGUGGUUGCGAUGGGCCAAGGCGAUGAAGAGCUUGUUGUUAGCAUGUGGAGAAGCCUCCUCAACCAUGUGUGCAACAAACACGAUGGCCACGAUGGACCCUACAAAAAUGCCUCCACGACUCCCUUGACGAUAGGGAAUGGUUGAGGCCAACAUCGCCUGCAUUUAUUCGUCUUAAGAGCAUUGUGCACAACACGAGAUUAGUGCGAGAUAUCUACCGGCUCUCGCCCGAGGGGCAAACAUUCUCGUUGGAGUCCUUCCACAGCGUGCUGAAUCGGUUUGCUCCAAAGUCCAAUGCCUACUCAGAGGACGGAAUGCAAGAGAGCACGAGGCUCGCUGUGCUCCACUUCAAUGAGAAUGCUGCACGGCACCAAGCACUCACUCGGGAUGGAGAGCAGCGUUGAAAAAUUAUAUCCUCCAAGGCGAGGCGAGGCCACUUCACUGUGACCACAGUGAAAGAGGAUCCAAGCUAUGGCUACAUUGAUAAUCUGAUGCAAGAUGUCCUGGAGCGCUGCGAACAUUCAUCAUAUAAGGAGAGCUUUCUGAGCUGUGAGCAGUCUCCACCAUGCCAUAUGUCGCACGGUUUUGAAAGACCUUCAAAGCAGGAGCUCAUUGAACAAAGGCGCACCCGCUUCCCCACGGCAUCAACACAAAGCAAUGGCACCUAGACAGCCACCACUGUUUGUGUGAACUGGGCGAAUCCUAAUGCUCUCAGGCAGCCAUAAAAACUCGGCCAGUCAAGAGAGCUUUCGAGACCACAUGAAAGCACUAAUCAAGUGUACACACACAUCUGUAAUGCAGUUGCAAUGAUUUAUUUCAUCGAAACCAAUGCCUGCAUGGUCAAGUAUGCACUGAUCUGUUCAGAGCACACACAUGAAGAGAACCACUCGGCUAAGCGAAGUCGGGAAGCCACCUUUACUUGGGGCAGCAUAAAAGACUUGGCAUGUCAAGGGAGAGUUACAGACCACUGCAUCGGCUUAAAAACUUCAAAAUGUAGUCAAACUACACCCUGCUACCUUGCGCCGCCAUGAGAGGGCAAUACGUGUGCGUGGUAUCGUUAUCAGCCGCUGCAAGGUUGUAGUGACUUCUGUCAUCUACUACAGGGGUCACGAAUCCACAUCCAAAGCUCGAUAGCACCUCUAGCACCUCUGCAAACCUGCUGCCAUGCCCUUGCAUUUGUUCACGCAGGGGCAUAGGUUUGGACUUCAGUCAGCUUCAGUCACUGCAAUGUUGACCUCGCCUUUUGUGCGACUAGCUGCCGCGUCGGACGCAGUGCGACUCCGGCCUGUAGUGGAUUCGCGAUGCAACGGCGGGCUUGAAGCCCAACAGUAUUUUUAAGUGUUUUUGAAACCGUACACGGCAGGAAUUCCGUGCUUCGUGCCUUCGAAGAAAGGGGACAAGUUCGGAUUCUUGCACCAUGUGUGCCUGUGAUGUGAACAUUUCGUACGGCAGCAAGUCUGACAUCAAGGUCCACAUCGCUUUGAAAAAGCAUCAGGGAUACAGCCAGCCAAGCCUAGCAAGUUUUUUAUGCAGCGACAACGACCUCGGUGUGAUUCGUGCAGAAUGCCUCUUCACGGCGUUUUUAGUUGAACACAACAUCCCACUGCACAACAUCCCGCUGAGUGUCAGCGAUCAUGCCGGACUGCAUUUCCGGAAGAUGUUCCCCAAGUGCGAAGAAGCGAAACGCUACGCCUGUGGACGAACAAAGAAGACGUCAAUUGUUUGGGAAAGGCUGGAUGUCCUGAAACAGCAAGUAUUUUCGAUCGCUGUGGACGGUAGUAACAAUAGGGAUACACAGCUUUACCCUAUUGUUGCGACAUAUUUCGUUAAGAAACGGGUAGAGUCGAAAGCCACCUGUUUUGCCUCAGGACAAUCCGAGGGAAAGCAUACUGCCAUAUUACUUCUCUUAGGAGGUCAAGAAGCCAUAGAUGUCUUCAAUACGUUCCAUUUCACACUGGCUGAACAGGAGGGCUACGAUGCACAUUCACCAGUUCAAUGUGUACUGCGAACCACAACGUAACAAAGCAUUUGAAAUGAGUGUCUUCCGCACACCUGGAUGCAGCAUGAGGGUAACUGUUCGAACAAUCUUCAUGCAAGGUGUAGCUGAAAGUACAAUCGUUUAAUUUUGGUGAACUGAAAGAUUCCAUGUCGCACGACCAGCUUGUCUGUGGCACCACGGACAGGAAGCUAAAAGCAUGCUUGUUGCAUGAAAAGGCGUUGAUGUUAAGGAAAGACAUUGACUUCUGCAAGGUGGUUGAGAUCGCAUUGAGCCAGACUUGUGUUUGGGACCAUGUCGACAAGGGACGAGACAGUAAAAAGAAAGCCAAAGCUCCGCAUUACUGUGGGUGCUGUGACAGAAGCCACCCACUAAAAUGGUGCUCGGUGGGGAGAAAGACUUGUGGAAUCUGCCAAUAUGAAGCCACUUAGCUGCUUGCUGUAGAUUGUGCCCAAGUGUGCAAGGGGCAGAGCGACCAAACAAGGAUACCAAAAAACUACUUCCAAUAUAUGUCAGUAUACACAGCGGGCAUCUACAGCUCACAUGACUGUUUCCUGAGCACAAAGGAUGGCGAAAAAAAAUUUAUGUCAACGUGGACACAUCACUUCAGCUGAAUGUCUCACCAUUCUAGCUAUACCAGAUUGAAAUCGAUGGUACGUCUAUGUCAAACACCCUGCUCACGAGGCAUAGAAGUGUCAUACAGCACUUGGGUACUGUUACGUAGGUGCUUCAAGCGGACUUCGUGCACAAGGCCAGUUUGUCCAUCAUGUAGAAAGGGAAACAGGAGCUGCUAAGGUUGGCUGCAUGCAAAACAGUUGGACUGGUGCAGUGUGUUCACAAUGUCCGAGCCUGCAAGAACCCCAAGCAAUAGAUCACUGACGAAUUCUCAAAGCUGUUCAUUGCGCACUUCAAGUACACAUGCUCGAUCAAUUUCAAAGAAGGUACUGAACCAAUGGCUGUGCGCCCGAGGAGAGAGCCUCAACCAUUCAAGAAACCCAUGUGUGCCGAGUUGCAGCGAAUGGAGGUGGAAGGCGUCAUAGCCAAAACCGAAGCCCCAUUGCAUUCGGUGAAUCCGUUGGUCAUACAGAUGAAUCCUGCUACAACGAAAUUGGUGGGGCGCACGAAAUAGUUCGUCGUGGAAACUCAUUGUCAUGACAUUAGAAAAUACAUAGGUGACUGGUGACACGUGACUCGCAGACGCAAAA
RNAcentral lists this long non-coding RNA (5445 nucleotides) under Dermacentor andersoni. RNAcentral describes it as "uncharacterized LOC126528501". The record is from RNAcentral. Lineage: Eukaryota; Metazoa; Arthropoda; Arachnida; Ixodida; Ixodidae.